This 274-nucleotide ribosomal RNA is filed under the name uncultured bacterium. RNAcentral describes it as "partial 16S ribosomal RNA". It matches the Rfam family "Bacterial small subunit ribosomal RNA", at positions 523 to 796 of the family's 1533-position model. The record is from RNAcentral.
AUACGGAGGGUGCAAGCGUUAUUCGGAAUCACUGGGCGUAAAGGACGCGUAGGCGGGUUGGCAAGUCAGAUGUGAAAUCCUACAGCUUAACUGUAGAACUGCAUUUGAAACUGCUAACCUAGAGUAUGGGAGGGGGAGAUGGAAUUAGUGGUGUAGGGGUAAAAUCCGUAGAUAUCACUAGGAAUACCGAAAGCGAAGGCGAUCUCCUGGAACAUAACUGACGCUCAGGCGUGAAAGCGUGGGGAGCAAACAGGAUUAGAUACCCUAGUAGUCC